AUUAAUUUACCUCAUCAUAUUCACUAUUCAUAGAAUAAUUGAUGCACCUUUGGGUAAAUCCUUAAGUUCUAGCAAUGAUGAAAAUUAAUUUAUCCACUAUUUUUAAAUUAUAGGCAUUUCAUUAAUUUCAUGGAUAAACUAUAAUUUUAUGUAUGCAUAUUCUAAACAUACUAGUUUGGUCACUUUGGCGACUAACAAACUAUAUAAACAUAAAUGCACACAUAAAAUAAAUAUCAGAAUAUUUUAUGCAUGUGAAUAUUUUAAACAAUCUAGUUUGAUCACUUUAGUGACUAACAAACUAUAUAAACAUUAAUCACAUACAUAAAAUAGAUAAUAAAUGGUUUCACCAACUUAAUAGCCCAAAACAAAUUAUUCAUGUUUCAUCAAAUUCUUGCACAUUAACGCAACUUCUGACACCAAACUUGUUCUAUACUGAAAAAAUAUUUUCAAACCAUUUUUGGAGAAUAAUAACAAACAUCAAGUUUUAACCAAUUAAAACAGUGAACAACAAUGGAUGAUGUUGGUUUGGACUUUUAGAUCAACGAAAAUUAGUCCAAAUUCACUUAUAUACUAAAGACAAGGGAUUAUAAACCUUUAGUGUUCAAACCUCAAAUCUGUUCAACUAUAGUAAAAUAUUGUCAAAAGUUAAAGACAUGAUUCUGUAAUUAAUGAUAGCACAUGAUUUCUGAAGCGGUUCACGAAUAUGAAAAAAUUCGUUUGCGAAGAUUAUCAAUUCAAAAAUCCAGGCUCAUGAUACCACAUGUAAGCAUAAACUUUAAUUCAUACCAGGAUCUUGAACAUGAUAAUCUUACAUGUAAUUGCCAUAGAAAACAUACCUGAAGCGGAAUCCAUUAUCUUGAAGCGGAAGCGUUAAUUCAAAAACUGGUUUCUCGCCCCUUGCCCUAAUUUGUUGUUACCGCCGCCUUUAGAGAUGGAAGAGAAAAUAAAAAUACGGUAACCCUAAUGGGUGGGGAGAGGACCAAUUUAUAGAGGUUCUCACUUAAUCUGGUACGUCCAUCAAGUAACCGAUCGGACGGAUGAGAUUUGAUAAUUAAUUAAAUAUUAAUUAUGGGCCUUAGACCUAUUAGGCCACACAUACAUAGGAAAAUAAUUUACAUGUUUUCCAUUCCAAGGCUCGAACCAGAGACUCUAGUUAAUGAUAGAGGGAUCAUAUUCAUCUCACAACAAAUCCUUGGUGUUUAGCAAGUAUUAUCUUGCUGUAAGGUAUUUCAUAUAUUGUACUACCAAUACUCCUCGUGCGUUUCGUAUAUCUUUAUUGCAUAGGCAACAUUAAGGUUGUCUAACUUAAGGUUUCCUUACACCCUACUGCACUUGUUGAAUUUUUGUGAUUAUCUCGACUAAUUUUACCAGGUGCUUGAACCCCAACUUUACCGGAACACCAAUUUUAUAGAUUUUUCUAUCUCAUUCAAACCAAGAAGCAUUUUGGAAUAGUCGUGACUCCCGCUUGUCUAUCGCAUUUACUCACUAAAAAAAAAAAAAAACCUUCCAGACUCUAGCUAGCCCUUUACAAGUUUAAAGCACUCACCUAAACCAGUGAAUCUACUAUUUAACAACACGUUCAUAAUUAGUUGAACCACUAGAAGAAUCUCCAAUUAUAGCUAAUUGUGUAUAGUUAAGUUCCUUGCCUUGCUUACUACAAAAUCCAACCCACUUAAUUGCCCUUGCCACAGGGUAUACUGCUUUAUAUGUCCAUACACCAAUCAGGCUGAAGCCCAAUCUUCUAAAUUAAAUUCUUUUUUUCUGAGACUUAAUUAUCCAUAGGAUUCAAGGCGUUCACGGUCUUAUAGGUCCUAUUCAAGCUCUACAGUAAGUCAUCGUCCUAAACUUGUUCGCAUUCCAAAAAAAUGCAGUGUAAGGUAGGCCAAAACAUCAAUCAGGCAGACUGAUGUUUGCACUUUCAUGAGCUUAACAGGCUAGCAGAUGAUCUAAUGUUCUUCACCUAAAGGAAAUAUAGCACCUGUCUGAAUAAUGUAAUGGUCAAUCUCACAGAAGAAAUCAACCAAAUGUGUCAUGCUUUUCCUCCCAUCAUCAGUAUUAUCACGGAUGAGUAUGGCAUUCCUCCCUUCAAUUGCUUAAUAAAAGCAGCAGGCCCUGUAGUCUUAUGAGCUGAUUUGAUGAAAUUGAAACAAGGAUAUAAUUCAACUUCUGACUUAAAAUAGGUACUUCCUGCCCCUCAAACUUUCUCAGUUAAAGUUGGUAGAUGGAAAAUGAGGAGAAAAAAGCAGGGUCAAGGAUGGGGAGUUAGGGAAGUGUGAUAACAUGAUGCUGAACCUUAAUUGUAUGACAAUAGCAUCUUACAACAUCGACCAGGGUAAACUGUCGAUAAAGUUUGUUCCACCAAUUCUGGAUCAACCAACAUCACAGAAACAGAACAUACAUUCUUUUGUGACCUUCGAUCCAUAUAUUCUGGAGCAAUAGCAGUCAAAUUAAUAGCAUGGACAAUGCUAGCAACUGUGGAACACCUAAGCUUUUACAACACAGUAUUCAUCACAGACCAAAGUCAGGAAAGAAACGUCAGCAGCAUGAUAGUAUGUAAGUGCAAGAACUGCAAUUGGUACCACUUCCCCUUUUCAAUGAGUCAAAGCAAAAAGAUACAAUGGAGGAUGCACCUGCAUGUGUGCUUGUACGAAUCUUACAAAUAAAAAAGAUACAAUUUCAAGAUCUGCUGUGAAAUUACACUAACAUUUUUACCAUCCACGUGAGCCAAGAGACUUGAUGACAGGUCCUAAUGCCUGAUCCACAGCUUUGUUCCAUAGGUGUGCAAACUCUAUACCAGACUUCUGUUUUGGGAUGUGCUCUAUUGUCUGAAAAUAUUCAAAUAGAUUAAAAAUAUGGUUAGAAAGACACAGAAUGAUGAGUUGAUUUUGUUUAUCAUAAAUAAUGAAAACCUCAAAUCUUGCUUUGAAACUUCAUAUGUAUUGUACAUGUGUAUCACAGUUGUGGUCAUGAUAAUCAAAGGACAAGGCUAUUUAAAAAUAUUAUACAAAUAACAUAUUCUCAUUAAGCAAAACAUCCACUACGAACAAUAACAUCUUGUCUGUCACCAGCUUUACAUCUAAUAAAUGGCACUGUGAAAAUAAAGAAAAAUAUCAAGAGUACUGACAGGUGGUGAAAAUGACCGUCACAUUGAAACACAAUACAUGGACAAACUUACGACUUGAAUAAGAAGAUAAGAAAAAUAUACUCCCUCCAUUCCAAUUUAUGUGAACCUGUUUGACUGGGCACAGAGUUUAAGAAAAAAUGAAGACUUUUGGAAUUUGUGGUCCUAAACAAGUUAAAAAGGGGCUCAGAGUAUUUGUGUGGUUAUAAAA
This 3332-nucleotide long non-coding RNA is filed under the name Nicotiana tabacum (common tobacco). RNAcentral describes it as "long non-coding RNA (NTAB_LNC015249)". The record is from RNAcentral. Lineage: Eukaryota; Viridiplantae; Streptophyta; Magnoliopsida; Solanales; Solanaceae.